UACGUAGGGUGCAAGCGUUGUCCGGAAUUAUUGGGCGUAAAGAGCUCGUAGGCGGUCUGUCGCGUCUGCUGUGAAAACUCAGGGCUUAACCCCCGAACUUGCAGUGGGUACGGGCAGACUAGAGUGUGGUAGGGGAGACUGGAAUUCCUGGUGUAGCGGUGAAAUGCGCAGAUAUCAGGAGGAACACCGAUGGCGAAGGCAGGUCUCUGGGCCACUACUGACGCUGAGAAGGCGAAAGCAUGGGGAGCGAACAGG
This 255-nucleotide ribosomal RNA is filed under the name uncultured bacterium. Its description in RNAcentral is "partial 16S ribosomal RNA". It matches the Rfam family "Bacterial small subunit ribosomal RNA", at positions 524 to 776 of the family's 1533-position model. The record is from RNAcentral.